UAACUUAUUAAAAAGCGUUUAAGCUUUUUUAGUUGAGUUUAAGGUAGUAGAUAUUAAGUUAAGGUCUGAUAUUGGUUUUUUUAUUAAAGAGUUUUAGAGACAAUAAAAGUUUUAAUGUUAGAAUUAGUAAAGAAUAUAAUUAUAAUUUUUUGAGUAUUAAUCAAGCCUAACUUUGGAUGGGAAAAUUUUAGUGGGAACGGGAAAUUAAAUUUAUUUAGUGUCUUCCAACUCAGGAAAUUUUAGGUUAUAAAAGUAAAGAAAAGGAACUCGGCAAAUACAGAUUUNNNNNNNNNNNNNNNNNNNNCGCUCUUUGGAUUAAAAGCUGUUUAAAUAUAAAGAGUUCUGCCUGCCCAGUGACGUUGUUAAACGGCCGCGGUAUCUUGACCGUGCAAAGGUAGCAUAAUCAUUUGCCUUUUAAAUGGAGGCUGGUAUGAAUGGCAAGACGGAAAUCUAGCUGUCUCUUUUUUAAUAUCUUAAAUUUAAUUUUUUUGUGAAGAAGCAAAAAUAUAGUCGUAGGACGAGAAGACCCUGUUGAGCUUUAAUAAAAUUUGUAGAUAUUUGAGAAUCUUUAUUGCUAAUAAUUUUAAGUUUUUUUUAAAAUAAUAUUACAAUUAAGGGAGGUAUAUAUUAUAAAGACUAUUUUGAUUGGGGCAAUCGCGGAGAAAAAGAAUCCUCCGUUUUAAAUUAUAAUUUUAAAGGAACAUCUUUGAGUGUGUAGGGUAUACUGUUAUGACCCACUUUUAUUAGUGAGCAAAGGAACAAGUUACCACAGGGAUAACAGCGUAAUUUUUUUGGAGAGUUCAUAUUGAUAAGAAAGUUUGCGACCUCGAUGUUGGAUCGGGAUAUCCAGGAGAUGCAGCAGUUUCCAAGGGUUGGUCUGUUCGACCAUUAAAAUCCU
RNAcentral lists this ribosomal RNA (898 nucleotides) under Tremaster mirabilis. RNAcentral describes it as "partial 16S ribosomal RNA". It matches the Rfam family "Bacterial large subunit ribosomal RNA", at positions 1474 to 2597 of the family's 2925-position model. The record is from RNAcentral. Lineage: Eukaryota; Metazoa; Echinodermata; Asteroidea; Valvatida; Asterinidae.